Long non-coding RNA from Symphalangus syndactylus (siamang), 491 nucleotides. RefSeq lists it as uncharacterized. The record is from RefSeq and is a predicted model, not a curated record. Lineage: Eukaryota; Metazoa; Chordata; Mammalia; Primates; Hylobatidae.
GGAGAAGAACCCGGAACCGGCCCCAGCUUAAGUAUUCUGGAAAAAGUACAGAAUUGAAUCCUUGGAGUGGAGCACACUGAUUGUCCAGGCCGGGGUCGGAUGCCUGUAUUUAAAUCCAGAAGUAGGCUCAGCCCCAUCUAAACCAUGUGAGCUGACACUGAGCCAGGAGUCUUCUCUACAAAAACCAUAAUGCUGUUACAGAGGCAGAGGAAAUGGGAGCCAGUGGUAAAUGCUCCGUGGAAACACAUUGCUGAUUGCAAUAAAGACUACAUUUCCCAGCCUCCCUUGCAGCAAGAAGUGGCCAUGUGACUGAGGUAUGGCCAGUGAGAUGUGAGCAGAACAUGGGACAGCAAACAAGGUGAUCAGCCAUUUGGACCUCUGGAUGGGGUCAACAUGCUGGUGAGAACGGGACAACAAGUUAGGGGCCCAAGCCUCUGACAACUUUCUGGUACAGAGCCACCACCCAGCUCAGACAUCCCUGUGAAAAACAA